Molecule: long non-coding RNA, 1095 nt
Filed under: Nicotiana benthamiana
Lineage: Eukaryota; Viridiplantae; Streptophyta; Magnoliopsida; Solanales; Solanaceae
Description: long non-coding RNA (NBEN_LNC002636)
Source: RNAcentral
CUCACAACCUCUCGGUUGGAAAUAGGGGUUGCUUACCAUCAGAGCGACCUAUCUUGUCUUCUAUUUUCCAAAAAAAGUUGAUAUUUGGUAAUCCUGAUCAUCCUUUUGAAAUAUUUGCAUGUCACCACACACUUUGCAAACUGAGGGACAGCUUCCUUGCUCCAACCACGCUGAGUAUACAAACACAUUAAAAGGAAAAGAAAAGACUAUUGUUUAACCUAUGGGUCCUAAUCCAGCCUCAAUCACCAAUUGUUUAGUAGUAAUUUUAAAGGGAUAAAACAAAAGCCUUGAAACGACUUAAACUACUACUACAACUACCCAGUAAAAUCCCACAAAAGUGGGGUCUAGGGAGAAGUCAAUAACUUGUCAUUGUAAUAUAUUCUCCUUAUUAGCCCACUCGUCCACCUUUCUUUCAAGCUAUUAGAAGAUUUAAGUUCAAAUAAAACUUGGAUAACGUCAUUUCAUCCCUGACCCCAAGGCUUUGGACUAGUGGUAAGAGCGCAACACGUGCAUGGGUUAGGGGCACAUCACAGGUACGAACUCUGGACAGGCAAAGGUCUGAUAUUUGAGUGGAGAUGGACAGAGGACAAGCCAACUAACCACCGAAUUACGAACGAUGUGCCACCUACCCUCAGGGAUUUCUUUGUCAUUAAAAAAUAAAGCAACCCUAAUCCAUUCCAAGAGGGCAUAUAUAGAGAUAACAUCCUAAUUCUUUGAGGAGAUCGAACAUCACGUAGGAAUGCAAACCUCCCACUUGAUUUUCGAGACAGCAAUUACCUGGCAUUCUAUUUCUGAUCAAUAGACACAGUGGAAAAUCCAUCGAAGGAAGAAAAGAUGAGAUCUUAUGGAUCGUGGGGAGAUGUCGCAAAAGAUAAAAGUGGAUCCUUGCUAGUGUGGUCAUGGUUAGAUUAGAGCUCCUUUUUUCACUUUGCCUAAACUUCUUUAAAUGAAUCUUCAUCAUUUUCUUCAAAAUUAACCUAGAACGUAUCACACAAACAACCACAUUUGGACUUAUUUUAUCAGAUCUGUAAUAUUCUCAAUAACUACACUGAAUCUUCCAAAUUGACUUAUUAAGAAAAACAAGAAGGGAAUAAA